RNAcentral lists this unclassified non-coding RNA (282 nucleotides) under plant metagenome. Its description in RNAcentral is "partial contains small subunit ribosomal RNA and internal transcribed spacer 1". The stretch from base 1 to 46 matches the Rfam family "Eukaryotic small subunit ribosomal RNA", at positions 1786 to 1831 of the family's 1831-position model. The record is from RNAcentral.
AAGUCGUAACAAGGUUUCCGUAGGUGAACCUGCGGAAGGAUCAUUACUAGAGCAAAGGAUAGACAGCGCCCGCGGAGCUCGCUCCCGGGGCUACCCUACUCCCGUAGGGUUUAGAGUCGUCGGGCCUCUCGGAGAAGCUCGGUCCUGAACUCCACCCUUGAAUAAACUACCUUUGUUGCUUUGGCGGGCCGCCUCGUGCCAGCGGCUCCGGCUGUUGCGUGCCCGCCAGAGGACCCCAACUCUUGUUUUUAGUGAUGUCUGAGUACUAUAUAAUAGUUAAAA